UAACUACUGGAAACGGUGGCUAAUACCGCAUAACGUCGCAAGACCAAAGAGGGGGACCUUCGGGCCUCUUGCCAUCAGAUGUGCCCAGAUGGGAUUAGCUUGUUGGUGAGGUAACGGCUCACCAAGGCGACGAUCCCUAGCUGGUCUGAGAGGAUGACCAGCCACACUGGAACUGAGACACGGUCCAGACUCCUACGGGAGGCAGCAGUGGGGAAUAUUGCACAAUGGGCGCAAGCCUGAUGCAGCCAUGCCGCGUGUAUGAAGAAGGCCUUCGGGUUGUAAAGUACUUUCAGCGGGGAGGAAGGUGUUGUGGUUAAUAACCGCAGCAAUUGACGUUACCCGCAGAAGAAGCACCGGCUAACUCCGUGCCAGCAGCCGCGGUAAUACGGAGGGUGCAAGCGUUAAUCGGAAUUACUGGGCGUAAAGCGCACGCAGGCGGUCUGUCAAGUCGGAUGUGAAAUCCCCGGGCUCAACCUGGGAACUGCAUUCGAAACUGGCAGGCUUGAGUCUUGUAGAGGGGGGUAGAAUUCCAGGUGUAGCGGUGAAAUGCGUAGAGAUCUGGAGGAAUACCGGUGGCGAAGGCGGCCCCCUGGACAAAGACUGACGCUCAGGUGCGAAAGCGUGGGGAGCAAACAGGAUUAGAUACCCUGGUAGUCCACGCCGUAAACGAUGUCUACUUGGAGGUUGUGCCCUUGAGGCGUGGCUUCCGGAGCUAACGCGUUAAGUAGACCGCCUGGGGAGUACGGCCGCAAGGUUAAAACUCAAAUGAAUUGACGGGGGCCCGCACAAGCGGUGGAGCAUGUGGUUUAAUUCGAUGCAACGCGAAGAACCUUACCUGGUCUUGACAUCCACGGAAGUUUUCAGAGAUGAGAAUGUGCCUUCGGGAACCGUGAGACAGGUGCUGCAUGGCUGUCGUCAGCUCGUGUUGUGAAAUGUUGGGUUAAGUCCCGCAACGAGCGCAACCCUUAUCCUUUGUUGCCAGCGGUUAGGCCGGGAACUCAAAGGAGACUGCCAGUGAUAAACUGGAGGAAGGUGGGGAUGACGUCAAGUCAUCAUGGCCCUUACGACCAGGGCUACACACGUGCUACAAUGGCGCAUACAAAGAGAAGCGACCUCGCGAGAGCAAGCGGACCUCAUAAAGUGCGUCGUAGUCCGGAUUGGAGUCUGCAACUCGACUCCAUGAAGUCGGAAUCGCUAGUAAUCGUGGAUCAGAAUGCCACGGUGAAUACGUUCCCGGGCCUUGUACACACCGCCCGUCACACCAUGGGAGUGGGUUGCAAAAGAAGUAGGUAGCUUAACCUUCGGGAGGGCGCUUACCACUUUGUGAUUCAUGACUGGGGUGAAGUCGUAACAAGGUAACCGUAGGGGAACCUGCGGUUGGA
Molecule: ribosomal RNA, 1382 nt
Filed under: Salmonella enterica subsp. enterica serovar Oslo
Lineage: Bacteria; Pseudomonadati; Pseudomonadota; Gammaproteobacteria; Enterobacterales; Enterobacteriaceae
Description: bacterial SSU rRNA
Rfam family: Bacterial small subunit ribosomal RNA
Source: RNAcentral